This 253-nucleotide ribosomal RNA is filed under the name uncultured bacterium. RNAcentral describes it as "partial 16S ribosomal RNA". It matches the Rfam family "Bacterial small subunit ribosomal RNA", at positions 524 to 776 of the family's 1533-position model. The record is from RNAcentral.
UACGUAGGGGGCAAGCGUUGUCCGGAUUUAUUGGGCGUAAAGAGCGUGUAGGCGGCCAGGUAGGUCGGCUGUGAAAACUCGAGGCUCAACCUCGAGCUGUCGGCCGAAACCAUCUGGCUAGAGUCCGGAAGAGGAGAAUGGAAUUCCCGGUGUAGCGGUGAAAUGCGCAGAUAUCGGGAAGAACACCCGUGGCGAAGGCGGUUCUCUGGGACGGUACUGACGCUGAGGCGCGAAAGCCAGGGGAGCAAACGGG